RNAcentral lists this ribosomal RNA (254 nucleotides) under uncultured bacterium. Its description in RNAcentral is "partial 16S ribosomal RNA". It matches the Rfam family "Bacterial small subunit ribosomal RNA", at positions 524 to 776 of the family's 1533-position model. The record is from RNAcentral.
GACGAACCGUGCAAACGUUACUCGGAAUCACUGGGCUUAAAGCGCACGUAGGCGGCGGCGUAAGUCAGAGGUGAAAUCCCAUCGGCUCAACCGUGGAAUUGCCUCUGAUACUGCGUUGCUCGAGGGGGAACGGGGCAUCUGGAACUUCCGGUGGAGCGGUGAAAUGUGUUGAUAUCGGAAGGAACGCCGGUGGCGAAAGCGAGAUGCUGGGUCCUUUCUGACGCUGAGGUGCGAAAGCUAGGGUAGCGAACGGG